AUACUUAACGUGGCAGGGGAGAUACCAUGAUCAGGAAGGUGGUUUUCCCAGGGCGAGGCUUAUCCAUUGCACUCGGGAUGUGCUGACCCCUGCGAUUUCCCCAAAUGUGGGAAACUCGACUGCAUAAUUUGUGGUAGUGGGGGACUACAUUCACGCUUUCCCCGG
RNAcentral lists this small nuclear RNA (165 nucleotides) under Panthera tigris altaica (Amur tiger). Its description in RNAcentral is "U1 spliceosomal RNA (ENSPTIG00000000779.1)". It matches the Rfam family "U1 spliceosomal RNA". Rfam says of the family: U1 is a small nuclear RNA (snRNA) component of the spliceosome (involved in pre-mRNA splicing). Its 5' end forms complementary base pairs with the 5' splice junction, thus defining the 5' donor site of an intron. Lineage: Eukaryota; Metazoa; Chordata; Mammalia; Carnivora; Felidae. The record is from Rfam by way of RNAcentral.